GUAAUUUUUAUUUAGUAGGGAGAGAGGAUGGGAACCUGAAUUGUGGAACUUGCUAUCAAGUUGGGCUUAAGUCAUGCGGGUGACUUGAUUCAGGGCUUGUUUUCAAUGGCUUGGGCCUGACUCCUGACUGGGACCCCCCUUCCCCCCCAUCCCUCCUUUCAUUUCUUGUUUUUAAUAGGGACUCAGGCUUGGGACUUGGGACCAAAGGCUCAGACUUGGCCGUGAGAUCUGGACCCAAAGACUUGCCGACACCUCAGGCCGUGAGGGAAAGCUGUCCUGCUCUCCUCCUCAGCCGCGUUUUUGGAAGAAACUAAAGGGCGAUGCGGAAGGUGGGGGGGAUAUGAGAGGAGAAAUGAUGAUCCUGGACAAGUUCUUGGAAGAUAUCGAUAGUGGCACUUGUCCUUCUUCCUUAUUUGCAUCAGAGGACUGCACAAUCUAAAAUUAUGGGCUUUUACGAAAUGUAGGUUAAAAAUGAAAAGUUUGGAAAUUAUUGUCUUUUGUGGUCCUAAAAAGGACGGCUCGGUCAUUUUGCUUAUCGGCAAGUUCGCCGUGUAACACUUCUGGAAGCGAAGGACUGGCCGGCUGUCCCAAGGGAUGCCCAGGUGUGUUCACGCAAUGCUUUCCGCUCUUUGGAGAGGUUCUUUCUGUGUCCCCCCCUCCCUCAUUAUGCUUACGGAGGAAGUGGAGAACAUUCUUGCACCUAAAUGAAUUGAGAUUCUGAGGAACGUUGUGAGUGUUAUGCUCAUGCGCCUUUUAAAAAUGUAGUUCUGCUGUUGUUGUUUUUUCCUGAGCAUUUGGUAUCUAAAUGGGUGACACUGUGAUUUUUUGACCUCUCUUUUCCUCCCCCGCUCCAUCAACUCUACAGGGGUAUCUCUCCAAUGUCAGUUUUGUCAGGACACGAGCGCAACGUGUACAACUGAAUCCACUCAGGAGUGUCAGUCCAGUCAGGACGUCUGUGUUUCGGCUGUCUCAGAAGUCACCAUGAAUGGCUUGAGGGUCUCCUUGUCUUUCAAAUCGUGCCUUGACCAUCGGUUCUGCCAGGCAGGCUUUUAUACUGCCAGUGUGGAAGAAGAUGUUCCCAUUCAGACCCAGAUCACCUGCUGCCAGGAGGACCAGUGUAACCGCGGGGCUCUUCAGUUACCUGAUCCGAAAAAGCUGGUUGCCAAUGGGUUUCAAUGCCCCGGCUGUUUUUCCAUCCUUUCAGAUCGCUGUGGCAGUAAAGGAAUGGACAGCUGCACACAGAAAGAAGACCACUGUUUCAACCUGGCUGGUUCCAUCAAAAGAAGCAUUUUGAAUGGGAGGAGUGCUUUCCAAGGUUGCACGACAGCCAAGGCAUGCAGCUUCAAAAAGGAAGCAGUAAAGGCAGCAAAUCAAGUUUUUGGAGCCCAGAUUUCCCAGACUGCAAACCGGCAGAAAAAGUUUCUCCCCCCGCCCCGAGAAUCGUAGAAUGAAGAAAAUGAAGACAUCCUGAAUGUAGAACAUUGUCUAGUGCUGAAGACCAGAGAGAUUUCAAUAAGAGGACUGGUUGCUCUUGGUGGCUGCGCUGAGCCGCUGUGACUGGCAUUGCCAACUUUUUUAGCAGCCUCUGCUCCUGGAAUGACAUUUGUCUGCUGUGUGAAUGCUCUUGAAAGAAACAGGCUGUGGGACGAUAGCAUUUGCACAUUGCAAGCUGGGUUUGGAUGCAAAGUUGAUGCACACACCCUCUAACUCAACGCGGGGUGCAAGGGAAUGGACAAUUGUGGACAAUUUCAAUAGGAUAUCACUGCCCUCUAUCGGGGAGGGAGACCCAUUGCAGGGAGAACCAAGUCCUGUGCACAGAGGAUACUUGGUGGUCAAAUGUCCUGCAGCCAAUAGCUUUGCAGGGUUGUACAAUGGAGGUGGUGGUUUUUUUUUUUUCCUAUGACAAAAGGAAGGGGCAAAGGAACCUCUGUUUGCCAGAUAAAACUCGUAAUGUUUGGAAAAUAUCAUCUCUUGAUUAGUUAAACAAUUCGCAAUGAAAUUUCAUUGUUCUACCAGCAAGCUCAGGGAGAAUCGCACGGCUUCCUCCAUUAUCCUCACAACAUCUCUUUGAGGUAGACGAGGCAAAGAGAAUAUGACUGGCCUGGAGAUCUGAGCCAAGAUCUCCCAACUCAAUACUCCUUUUCUGACAACAACACACUGCUAGAUAGCUCAGUGGUUCAGUUCUCUGAUUGUGGAGCCAGAGGUUGGGAGUUCGAUUCCCCCACUGUUCCUCCCUGUUCAGGGCCGGGCUUGAUGAUCCCUAGGGUCCCACCAGCUCUACAAUUCUAAGAUGAUGAUGAUGCAUUUACUUAUGCAUCACCUCCAGAGUCGAUCCUGCAGCCACACAGAGAGCACAUGGUUAUAGUACUGGAAAAACUGCUCACCCUUUUCAGCUCCAUGAUUUGUUCAAUUGUGAGACUAUAUCUCGGAACCCAAGGGAAAAUUUACAAAGGACAGGACGAGCGUGUUGCGCACGUCAUAUGGAUGUCGUUGAGUCCUAAGAAUUCCGGUGAGGAAUCCUCUACUUUCUGAGACCAGUAUUCUGUUGCUAGACACUAUUUGAGUCAACCCAUUGACUGAGUGGGAUUUACAUAAAGUGUUGGCUUAUCAUUGAGACUGAGGUUAGAAACAGAAUUUGGGUCAAAGCAUUUUUGUUAAAAAUGGUCAAAACUGGGAUCCAGAGGCACCCCAGACCUUACCAUACUGUUAACAACAAGGCUGUGAAUCCAUUGAAUAAAAUCAUCCAAAUACACA
This 2754-nucleotide long non-coding RNA is filed under the name Pogona vitticeps (central bearded dragon). Its description in RNAcentral is "lncRNA (ENSPVIG00000003600.1)". Lineage: Eukaryota; Metazoa; Chordata; Lepidosauria; Squamata; Agamidae. The record is from RNAcentral.